CUACAAGGAAGGAGCGUCUAGGACAUGAAGAAGGGAGGCUACCCAUGGAGCGUCUAGAUGUGGAACUAGACCGUCUAGGUCCUCUCACAAGGUCAAUGGCUAAGCAUGUUCAAACCCAAGUGAAUGAAGCCACGGAUGGAAGAGAGAAAGCUUUGUACAUGUUGCAUAAAGGCCCAAUAGGGGUACUUAGUAAUUAGAGUAGUGUAGAAAGCAUAUUUGAGUGAAACUUUCUAGAAGCUUUCUAUGUGUGACCGGUCAUGGCACAUGGCUUAUGAUUUGCAUUUCAUUUGGUUUCCAUUUCAUUAGCUAUUAGCUUAGCUU
RNAcentral lists this long non-coding RNA (321 nucleotides) under Phaseolus vulgaris (common bean). RNAcentral's name for it is "long non-coding RNA (PVUL_LNC003416)". Lineage: Eukaryota; Viridiplantae; Streptophyta; Magnoliopsida; Fabales; Fabaceae. The record is from RNAcentral.